Long non-coding RNA from Fukomys damarensis (Damara mole-rat), 254 nucleotides. RefSeq lists it as uncharacterized. The transcript has 3 exons. NCBI's taxonomy places the organism in Eukaryota, Metazoa, Chordata, Mammalia, Rodentia, Bathyergidae. The record is from RefSeq and is a predicted model, not a curated record.
AGAAAGGCAGGCUGAGUUCAUCAGUUUCCCUGCUGUCACCACUACCACCUGUGAGGCAUCGUGGUACAAAUGGAAGAGUACUUUUCGGUCAUGAGCUAAAAUCAGACAUCAUAGUUCUAGGAGCGAAGAUGUCAAGUAACAUGGCAAUAGCACCUUAUUGACACAGCAUUUCUUCCCUUCUUCCCUCCCAUCAUGUGAGGAUAUCAUGUACAGGACAUCAUCUUGGAAGCAGAGAUGGGGCAGUCACCAAACCA